This 449-nucleotide ribosomal RNA is filed under the name uncultured bacterium. Its description in RNAcentral is "partial 16S ribosomal RNA". It matches the Rfam family "Bacterial small subunit ribosomal RNA", at positions 29 to 523 of the family's 1533-position model. The record is from RNAcentral.
AGCGAACGCUGGCGGCAGGCCUAACACAUGCAAGUCGAACGGAUCCUUCGGGAUUAGUGGCGGACGGGUGAGUAACACGUGGGAACGUGCCCUUUGGUUCGGAACAACUCAGGGAAACUUGAGCUAAUACCGGAUGUGACCUUGGGGGGAAAGAUUUAUCGCCAUUGGAGCGGCCCGCGUCUGAUUAGCUAGUUGGUGGGGUAAAGGCCCACCAAGGCGACGAUCAGUAGCCGGUCUGAGAGGAUGAUCAGCCACAUUGGGACUGAGACACGGCCCAAACUCCUACGGGAGGCAGCAGUGGGGAAUCUUGCGCAAUGGGCGAAAGCCUGACGCAGCCAUGCCGCGUGAAUGAUGAAGGUCUUAGGAUUGUAAAAUUCUUUCACCGGGGACGAUAAUGACGGUACCCGGAGAAGAAGCCCCGGCUAACUUCGUGCCAGCCGCCGCCGUAA